ACGAACGCUGGCGGCGUGCCUAAUACAUGCAAGUAGAACGCUGAAGAGAGGAGCUUGCUCUUCUUGGAUGAGUUGCGAACGGGUGAGUAACGCGUAGGUAACCUGCCUUGUAGCGGGGGAUAACUAUUGGAAACGAUAGCUAAUACCGCAUAACAAUGGAUGACACAUGUCAUUUAUUUGAAAGGGGCAAUUGCUCCACUACAAGAUGGACCUGCGUUGUAUUAGCUAGUAGGUGAGGUAAUGGCUCACCUAGGCGACGAUACAUAGCCGACCUGAGAGGGUGAUCGGCCACACUGGGAAUGAGACACGGCCCAGACUCCUACGGGAGGCAGCAGUAGGGAAUCUUCGGCAAUGGGGGCAACCCUGACCGAGCAACGCCGCGUGAGUGAAGAAGGUUUUCGGAUCGUAAAGCUCUGUUGUAAGUCAAGAACAGGUGUGAGAGUGGAAAGUUCACACUGUGACGGUAGCUUACCAGAAAGGGACGGCUAACUACGUG
RNAcentral lists this ribosomal RNA (496 nucleotides) under uncultured bacterium. RNAcentral's name for it is "partial 16S ribosomal RNA". It matches the Rfam family "Bacterial small subunit ribosomal RNA", at positions 29 to 507 of the family's 1533-position model. The record is from RNAcentral.